RNAcentral lists this ribosomal RNA (465 nucleotides) under uncultured bacterium. RNAcentral's name for it is "bacterial SSU rRNA". It matches the Rfam family "Bacterial small subunit ribosomal RNA", at positions 338 to 795 of the family's 1533-position model. The record is from RNAcentral.
CCUACGGGGGGCAGCAGUGGGGAAUAUUGCACAAUGGGCGCAAGCCUGAUGCAGCCAUGCCGCGUGUAUGAAGAAGGCCUUCGGGUUGUAAAGUACUUUCAGUCGGGAGGAAGGUGGUGAGCUUAAUACGCUCAUCAAUUGACGUUACCGACAGAAGAAGCACCGGCUAACUCCGUGCCAGCAGCCGCGGUAAUACGGAGGGUGCGAGCGUUAAUCGGAGUUACUGGGCGUAAAGCGCAUGCAGGCGGCCUGUUAAGUCAGAUGUGAAAGCCCGGGGCUUAACCUCGGAAUUGCAUUUGAAACUGGCAGGCUAGAGUCUUGUAGAGGGGGGUAGAAUUUCAGGUGUAGCGGUGAAAUGCGUAGAGAUCUGAAGGAAUACCAGUGGCGAAGGCGGCCCCCUGGACAAAGACUGACGCUCAGAUGCGAAAGCGUGGGGAGCAAACAGGAUUAGAUACCCUGGUAGUC